UGGGGAAUUUUGCACAAUGGGGGAAACCCUGAUGCAGCGACGCCGCGUGAUUUAGAAGGCCUUCGGGUUGUAAAAAUCUUUUCUAUGGGAAGAAAAUGACAGUACCAUAGGAAUAAGGACCGGCUAAUUACGUGCCAGCAGCCGCGGUAAUACGUAAGGUCCGAGCGUUGUCCGGAAUCAUUGGGCGUAAAGGGUACGUAGGCGGGUAAGCAAGUUAGAAGUGAAAUCCUAUAGCUCAACUAUAGUAAGCUUUUAUAACUGCUCAUCUUGAGGUAUGGAAGGGAAGGUGGAAUUCCUAGUGUAGCGGUGAAAUGAGCAGAUAUUAGGAGGAAUACCGGUGGCGAAGGCGACUUUCUGGCCAUAACCUGACGCUGAGGUACGAAAGCGUGGGUAGCAAACAGG
RNAcentral lists this ribosomal RNA (402 nucleotides) under bacterium. RNAcentral's name for it is "partial 16S ribosomal RNA". It matches the Rfam family "Bacterial small subunit ribosomal RNA", at positions 355 to 776 of the family's 1533-position model. The record is from RNAcentral.